UAUCUUUGCGGCGCUUAAAAUAUGCAUACAUAACAAUCAUUAAAUAAUAUUAGCAUG
This 57-nucleotide non-coding RNA is filed under the name unclassified sequences. RNAcentral's name for it is "S15-Flavobacteria ribosomal protein leader". It matches the Rfam family "S15-Flavobacteria ribosomal protein leader". The record is from RNAcentral.